CUGGUGAUGGCGACGACGGCUUCUCCUUCUUCGUCGGAGCUUCGUCGGUGGCCUCGUCGCCAUCCGUCUAUCGAUCUCGUUUCCUUUUAGUUUCGAGUGGGCACACACAUAUACACACACAAGUCGCCGUUGCUCUCUCGUCUCCGCGCAGUUCAGAUAGACGGCAUAGAAAUUUGUGAUACGCAGAGGGAGAUAGAGCGGACCAAGUUGAGCCAACGGCUACUAGCUUCUUCUUCGUCCUCUUCUUUAUACUUCUCCAUCUCUCCUCUUGUUUCCCAU
Non-coding RNA from Caenorhabditis elegans, 279 nucleotides. Lineage: Eukaryota; Metazoa; Nematoda; Chromadorea; Rhabditida; Rhabditidae. The record is from Ensembl.